CGGGCGUCUUAACAUGCAAGUCGAACGAUUAAAGCACCUUCGGGUGUGUAUAAAGUGGCGAACGGCUGAGUAACACGUGGGCAACCUGCCCCUCUCAUUGGGAUAGCCACGGGAAACCGUGGAUAAUACCGAAUACUUCGAGUCUCUCGCAUGGAAGACUCGAGAAAGCUCCGGCGGAGAGGGAUGGGCCCGCGGCCUGUUAGCUUGUUGGUGGGGUAACGGCCUACCAAGGCAAUGAUGGGUAGCUGGGUUGAGAGACCGACCAGCCAGAUUGGGACUGAGACACGGCCCAGACUCCUACGGGAGGCAGCAGUGGGGAAUCUUGCACAAUGGGCGAAAGCCUGAUGCAGCGACGCCGCGUGCGGGAUGAAGGCCUUCGGGUUGUAAACCGCUUUCAGCGGGACGAGGCGAAAGUGACGGUACCUGCAGAAGAAGCCCGGCUAAAC
This 446-nucleotide ribosomal RNA is filed under the name Lancefieldella parvula. RNAcentral describes it as "bacterial SSU rRNA". It matches the Rfam family "Bacterial small subunit ribosomal RNA", at positions 40 to 501 of the family's 1533-position model. Lineage: Bacteria; Bacillati; Actinomycetota; Coriobacteriia; Coriobacteriales; Atopobiaceae. The record is from RNAcentral.